This 69-nucleotide transfer RNA is filed under the name Oncylocotis sp. PJ-2015. RNAcentral describes it as "tRNA-Gln". Lineage: Eukaryota; Metazoa; Arthropoda; Insecta; Hemiptera; Enicocephalidae. The record is from RNAcentral.
UAUAUUUUAGUGUAUUAAGCACAAAAAUUUUUGACGUUUUGAGAUUUAGUUUAAAUCUAAAAAAUAUAA